Cyprinus carpio carpio is the source of this 372-nucleotide long non-coding RNA. The record is from Ensembl. Lineage: Eukaryota; Metazoa; Chordata; Actinopteri; Cypriniformes; Cyprinidae.
UUGCAUUUGGUCUGAUGCUCCACACCAUGCUUAGCUCCUCAAUUUGCCUCUGGAGUGCUUGGCCCCGUAAUUGCUGCUUGCAGCUAUAUUUAGGGGCCAAGCACCGAAGGUGCGUAGGCACCUAUUGAAAUCGUUGGCGUUAUUAGGGGCCAAGCACCGAAGGUGCGUAGGCACCUAUUGUAUCCGUUGGCGUUAUUAGGGGCCAAGCACCGAAGGUGCUUAGGCACCUAUUGUAUCCGUUGGCGUUAUUCUUCUUCUUCUUCUUCUUCUUCUUCUUCUUCUUCUUCUUCUUCCGCCACAAGUCUAUGGCAGCCCAUAGAACCGAUUGCGGGAAAGUUGUAUAAUUUGGCACACUGAUAGAGGACAGUCCCA